Molecule: long non-coding RNA, 416 nt
Filed under: Ananas comosus (pineapple)
Lineage: Eukaryota; Viridiplantae; Streptophyta; Magnoliopsida; Poales; Bromeliaceae
Description: long non-coding RNA (ACOM_LNC005921)
Source: RNAcentral
UUCAAACCGAACCGGAUCCUGUCUGAACCGAACCGAACAGGAUUCAACUUGAACCAAAGUGAAUCCAAACUGAAUGGAACCAAAUCCGGUCCUAACCAAAUCAAAGUAAAUCCAUACACCGAACCCAUGAACCAUAUCCAAGUUCAUGAACCAAGUCGUACACCAAACUUAUGAACCAUAUCCAUACACCAAACCCAUGAACCAUAUCCAAGUUCAUGAACCAAAUCCAUACACCAAACCCAUGAACCAUAUCCAAGUUCAUGAACUAAAUCCAUACACCAAACCCAUGAACCAUAUCCAAGUUCAUAAACCAAAUCCAUACACCAAACUCAUGAACCAUAUCAAAGUUCAUGAACCAAAUCCAUACACCAAAUUCAUGAACCAUAUCCAAAUUUAUGAACCAAGUCCAUACACCA